RNAcentral lists this ribosomal RNA (477 nucleotides) under uncultured bacterium. RNAcentral describes it as "partial 16S ribosomal RNA". It matches the Rfam family "Bacterial small subunit ribosomal RNA", at positions 28 to 507 of the family's 1533-position model. The record is from RNAcentral.
GAUGAACGCUGGCGGCGUGCCUAACACAUGCAAGUCGAACGAUGAAACUUAAAUGAUUUCUUCGGAAUGAACUUAAGUGGAGUAUUGGCGGACGGUUGAUUAACUCGUGAGUAACCUGCCUUACACAAGGGGAUAGCCGUUUAAAACGAGGAAUUAUAUUGUAUGAAACUAUCCCUUCGUAUAAGACGAUAUUCCAGUUGUUAGCGGUGUAAGAUGGACUUGCGUCUGAUUUUCGAGUUGGUGCGAAAAAAGCCCACCAAGGCAAGGAGCAGUAGCCGGAUUGAGAGAGUGUACGGCAACAUUGGGACUGCGACAAGGCCCAGACUCCUACGGGAGGCAGCAGUGGGGAAUUAUGCACAAUGGGGGAAACACUGAGGCAGCGAGGCCGCGUGACUUAGAAGGUAUUCGGGUUGUAAAAAUCUUUUGUCUAGGAAGAACAUGACGGUACUAUACGAAUAAGCUACGGCUAAUUACGUG